UCCCAUCAUAGAUCCGCGUAUCCCUUUAAUUAAGCAGUACACCCUGUUUGGUAUUUUCAAAUCUAUUCUGUUAUGAUCGAUAUAUACGUUUAACUUAAUGGAUAGUACAUAUUGACGAUCCUUCAUUAAAAAAAAGGCACGUGCAUAUAAACACUGAUAUUUUACUAUAUAAUAACACUAUCCUUUUGGCUAGAAAGACACCAACCAUCAAUAUUUUGAUUCUUAAAAGCUUCACCCUAGCCACACAAACUCAUACACACAUAGUCGAUGCCUAAUGCAAAAGUUCUGUUCUG
RNAcentral lists this long non-coding RNA (293 nucleotides) under Mytilus galloprovincialis (Mediterranean mussel). Lineage: Eukaryota; Metazoa; Mollusca; Bivalvia; Mytilida; Mytilidae. The record is from RNAcentral.